This 433-nucleotide ribosomal RNA is filed under the name uncultured bacterium. RNAcentral describes it as "partial 16S ribosomal RNA". It matches the Rfam family "Bacterial small subunit ribosomal RNA", at positions 29 to 507 of the family's 1533-position model. The record is from RNAcentral.
AACGAACGCUGGCGGCAUGCCUAACACAUGCAAGUCGAACGAGACCUUCGGGUCUAGUGGCGCACGGGUGCGUAACGCGUGGGAACCUGCCCUUAGGUUCGGAAUAACUCCCCGAAAGGGGUGCUAAUACCGGAUAAUGUCUUCGGACCAAAGAUUUAUCGCCUUUGGAUGGGCCCGCGUUGGAUUAGCUAGUUGGUAGGGUAAAGGCCUACCAAGGCGACGAUCCAUAGCUGGUCUGAGAGGAUGAUCAGCCACACUGGGACUGAGACACGGCCCAGACUCCUACGGGAGGCAGCAGUGGGGAAUAUUGGACAAGGGGCGAAAGCCUGAUCCAGCAAUGCCGCGUGAGUGAUGAAGGCCUUAGGGUUGUAAAGCUCUUUUACCCGGGAUGAUAAUGACAGUACCGGGAGAAUAAGCUCCGGCUAACUCCGUG